UUUUUUUUUUUUUUCGGUGGUGUACCCUGAAAUUGCUGCGACCCAAGUGGGUUAUUAGGGUUAAAAACCCGAAGCAUAGUUCAGAUGAUUUCUUUUGUGAUUAACAAAAUCUCUGCACGUCUUUCAUAGAAAAGCUAAACGUCGAUUGCUCUCGUAAUCCCUUUCUCGAAUUUUACCCAAAAUUUGGGUUUUUCCCGUAGGAUGUUGAAGAGCGUUGUUAGCUUCAUCUACCUCUCUGCCGUUGUUAGCUUCAAAGGUUGAAGAAACCUCAUAUGCAAGUAGACAAGAAUUUGAUACUGUUUGAAUACUUCCUUUUUUGCUGUCUCACCCAGUUGUUGAGUGACAGCAAUCAGAAGAAGGCCAGCACGUUGUAGGCAAAUUAGUAGCAAAAACAGGAUAAUAAAACAUUUCAGGCACUUGGAAAUGAAAGAUUUGGAUUUUAAACUGGCGUAGGCUUUUCUGCAUGGUCAAGAGUAGGAU
Long non-coding RNA from Tarenaya hassleriana, 480 nucleotides. RefSeq lists it as uncharacterized. The record is from RefSeq and is a predicted model, not a curated record. NCBI's taxonomy places the organism in Eukaryota, Viridiplantae, Streptophyta, Magnoliopsida, Brassicales, Cleomaceae. The transcript is spliced from 2 exons.